GAUAAACGCUGGCGGCGCACAUAAGACAUGCAAGUUGAACGGACUUAAUCGAAAUAUUUCUAUUUUGAAGCGGUUAGUGGCGGACUGGUGAGUAACGCGUAAGGAACCUGCCUAUUAGAGGGGAAUAACAGUGAGAAAUCAUUGCUAAUACCGCAUAUGCCAUAGAUAUCACAUGAUAACAGUGGGAAAGGAGCAAUCCGCUAAUAGAUGGCCUUGCGUCUGAUUAGAUAGUUGGUGGGGUAACGGCCUACCAAGUCGACGAUCAGUAGCCGGACUGAGAGGUUGAACGGCCACAUUGGGACUGAGAUACGGCCCAGACUCCUACGGGAGGCAGCAGUCGGGAAUAUUGCGCAAUGGAGGAAACUCUGACGCAGUGACGCCGCGUAGAGGAAGAAGGUUUUCGGAUUGUAAACUAUUGUCGUUAGGGAAGAGAAAGGACAGUACCUAAGGAGGAAGCUCCGGCUAACUACGUG
RNAcentral lists this ribosomal RNA (473 nucleotides) under uncultured bacterium. RNAcentral describes it as "partial 16S ribosomal RNA". It matches the Rfam family "Bacterial small subunit ribosomal RNA", at positions 28 to 507 of the family's 1533-position model. The record is from RNAcentral.